CCGAGUGUAGCUCAGUUGGUAGAGCGAUUGACUGUAGUGUGUCUAUACUGUGUUUCGGUAUACUCGGAAAUCAAUUGGUCACCGGUUCGAUUCCGGUCACUCGGA
This 105-nucleotide transfer RNA is filed under the name Phytopythium vexans DAOM BR484. Its description in RNAcentral is "Pythium vexans DAOM BR484 tRNA-Tyr for anticodon GUA". It matches the Rfam family "tRNA". From Rfam's summary of the family: Transfer RNA (tRNA) molecules are approximately 80 nucleotides in length. The record is from RNAcentral. Lineage: Eukaryota; Oomycota; Peronosporomycetes; Pythiales; Pythiaceae.